RNAcentral lists this long non-coding RNA (339 nucleotides) under Equus caballus (horse). Its description in RNAcentral is "lncRNA (ENSECAG00000046231.1)". The record is from RNAcentral. Lineage: Eukaryota; Metazoa; Chordata; Mammalia; Perissodactyla; Equidae.
GAAGAGUUUCAUAAACUGGAGACUGGAUGCUAUUUCUACUAUAAUUCACCCCAGGGGGCUGCUUUUUCCCAUCUCUCCUCCCUAGUAUUUUGCUAGCUAAUGCCAAAAAUGUUGACCCUCCACUCUGCCCUCAAAGAAACCCUCCUGCCAGGGCUGGUGGCUACAGCUUUCAGCCACACACACUCAGGAAUCAGCAGUUCUUUGAGAAGUCAGCAGGAGAAUGGAUAUCCUGGUCACAAAGGCCAAUGGUUGUGGACUUUCUGAAGAUAGAAUCAACAGUUGGUGAUGGUUAGCCAAGAUUAACUUCUGCUUCCAACUCCAAUUAAAAUUCUUUGUAAC